Molecule: long non-coding RNA, 441 nt
Organism: Carassius auratus (goldfish)
Lineage: Eukaryota; Metazoa; Chordata; Actinopteri; Cypriniformes; Cyprinidae
Exons: 3
Source: RefSeq, a predicted model, not a curated record
CAUCUCUGAAAUUACCCCCCGAGCCUUGGCCUGACCCCUGACCUCCACCUGACUGAGGUGCCGUAGGAAACCUGCCGAUAAGAGACAGUUUACUGAACAAAAUGAGGUAAUGACGAGGGAGCCUUCUCUGUCUCUGACAUCACAAUCACCUGAUCCUAGAGGAGGACGAGGAAGAAGAAGAUGCUCUCAGUAAGACUAGGUAAGCAGUUUUGGCCCAGAACCGGCCCACAUCUGGCCCGUGUGAAAUCCAUGCCGGCCAGAUCUGGGCCGAAACUGCUUCACUGACAGAUAGAGCCUGCACACUUCAGGAAGUCAACCUAUGAAUGGCCUACAUGUCUUUGCACAUUCGACCGGGAUAAGAGAAGGACCUCCGAUAUUAAAACAUUAAAGGUUUUAAUUCAACUCUGCACUGGCUGUCAUUACCUCAGAGCUGGGAUGUAG